AAAACCCCGAACAUGUGUAUGAANUCCNAACUCCANUGAAUUAAUUAUUCUCUNUUGUGGNGGGUCNAACNCGGANGCCCCGACUGUUUACUAAAACACAGCUAUCUGCAACGAUGUAAAUGAUAGUAUAGGUAGUGAGGUUUGCCCGAUGCCAUUAAUAUAAGAGAAGUGAUGGGUAACUGUUANUUAUCGAAAAUCUGGUUAAUAGCGGUCUUAACUAUGAGGAUCCUAAGGUAGCAAAAUAAAUUGGCCAUUAAAUGUGGUCCGGUAUCAAUAAUNUAACGAUGGNUUCACUGUCUCUACAACUUGCUCAGUGAAAUUGAAUUACCCGUGCAGAU
This 338-nucleotide ribosomal RNA is filed under the name Suilloid fungal sp. 19-MR/927B. RNAcentral's name for it is "partial ribosomal RNA large subunit". It matches the Rfam family "Bacterial large subunit ribosomal RNA", at positions 1719 to 2060 of the family's 2925-position model. Lineage: Eukaryota; Fungi; Basidiomycota; Agaricomycetes; Boletales; Boletaceae. The record is from RNAcentral.